This is a non-coding RNA of Nerophis lumbriciformis (worm pipefish), 307 nucleotides long. NCBI's taxonomy places the organism in Eukaryota, Metazoa, Chordata, Actinopteri, Syngnathiformes, Syngnathidae. The record is from RefSeq and is a predicted model, not a curated record.
GCCCAAUGAUGAAACCAAGGCGAAUACGAGCUGACUGAACAACAGCUGGUUUCUUCUCGCUUCUACUGGCGGGUAAUCUUGGCAGUGUAAGGGAGGCUUCUUGCUCUGCUGUAAGGGCCCGCCUACAGUAACCUGGCUCCACCAUUAUUUCUCCUCUAGAAGUAACAUUGGAGUUAAUAUGUUAUUUGGAUAGAGCCCAUAGUGUGCGUUUGUGUGUGUGUGUGUGCGUGUGUAGGGGCUUGGGGUUCAACCAGCUGUUUUCAAACUUCAGUCAGCAAUGAGUUGCUUCUUUGGUAAUCUGAGGGCC